ACUAAUUGCAUUAUAUGUAAUAAUGAUUAUGUCAUAUAAAAUUCUAAGCAUAAUUUUGAUAAUGACAAAAUAUGUCUAAAGGUCUUGACCAAUUCACGUGCCAGCAGUCGCGGUAACACGUGUAAGACUAGUGUUAUUCAUCUUUAAUAGGUUUAAAGGGUACCUAAACGGUAAAAUAAGCCAAAAAGGGACUAUUUUACUAGAGUUUAAUAAGAGGGGGUAGUACGGCAGGUGUAGUGAUGAAAUACAAUCAUAUCUGAGGGACUGUUAACGGCGAAAGCGAUCCUUUAUAUAAAAACUGACGUUGAGGGACGAAGGCUAUGCACCACCAAAAGGAUUAGAAACCCAAGUAGUCUUAGCAGACAAUGAUGAAUGCCAUAAACAAGAUUAAUUAAUUUUGUUUAUAAAUGAAAGUGUAAGCAUUUCACCUCAAGAGUAAUGUGGCAACGCAGAAACUGAAAUCAUUAGGCCGCUUCUGAAACCAGUAGUGAAGUAUGUUGUUUAAUUUGAUGACCCGCAAAUAACCUCACCACAAUUUGAAUAUUAUAUAUAUAUAUUUACAAGCGUUGCACGGCUGUCUUCAGUUAAUGUCGUGAGAUUUUGGUUAGAUCCAUUUAAUUAACGUAAACCCUUACUUUAUUUUUUUAUAUAAAGUAGUUCACCUAUACAGUGGUAAUGAUAUAAGGGACUAAGACAAGUCAUCAUGGCCUUAAUAUUGUGGGCUAUAGACGUGCCACAUAUAUCUUGACAAAGAGAUGCAAAAUUGUGAAAUUUAGCUAAUCUCCUAAAAUAGAUAAUAAG
RNAcentral lists this ribosomal RNA (801 nucleotides) under Dictyocatenulata alba. Its description in RNAcentral is "SSU rRNA". It matches the Rfam family "Bacterial small subunit ribosomal RNA", at positions 407 to 1292 of the family's 1533-position model. Lineage: Eukaryota; Fungi; Ascomycota. The record is from RNAcentral.